RNAcentral lists this ribosomal RNA (253 nucleotides) under uncultured bacterium. Its description in RNAcentral is "partial 16S ribosomal RNA". It matches the Rfam family "Bacterial small subunit ribosomal RNA", at positions 524 to 776 of the family's 1533-position model. The record is from RNAcentral.
UACGGAGGGUGCAAACGUUGCUCGGAAUCAUUGGGCGUAAAGCGCACGUAGGCGGGAUGGCAAGUCGGUCGUGAAAUCCCUCGGCUCAACCGAGGAACGUCGAUCGAUACUGCUGUUCUUGAGGAUUGCAGAGGAGACUGGAAUUCCCGGUGUAGCGGUGAAAUGUGUAGAGAUCGGGAGGAACACCGGUGGCGAAGGCGGGUCUCUGGGCAAUUCCUGACGCUGAGGCGCGAAAGCGUGGGGAGCAAACGGG